UGGGGAAUAUUGGGCAAUGGGGGCAACCCUGACCCAGCGACGCCGCGUGGGGGAAGACGGCCUUCGGGUUGUAAACCUCUUUUGUACGGGAAGAAGGAAGUGACGGUACUGUACGAAUAAGUCCCGGCUAACUACGUGCCAGCAGCCGCGGUAAUACGUAGGGGACGAGCGUUGUCCGGAAUUACUGGGCGUAAAGGGCGCGCAGGCUGUGCUGCAAGUCAGCUGUUAAAUGUCUGGGCUUAACCCGGGCAUGCGGUUGAGACUGCGGUGCUGGAGUGCUGUAGAGGCAAGUGGAAUGCCCAGUGUAGCGGUGAAAUGCGUAGAUAUUGGGAAGAUCGCCGGUGGCGAAGGCGACUUGCUGGGCAGCAACUGACGCUGAGGCGCGAAAGCCAGGGGAGCAAACG
This 404-nucleotide ribosomal RNA is filed under the name uncultured bacterium. Its description in RNAcentral is "bacterial SSU rRNA". It matches the Rfam family "Bacterial small subunit ribosomal RNA", at positions 355 to 774 of the family's 1533-position model. The record is from RNAcentral.